This 425-nucleotide ribosomal RNA is filed under the name uncultured bacterium. RNAcentral describes it as "partial 16S ribosomal RNA". It matches the Rfam family "Bacterial small subunit ribosomal RNA", at positions 354 to 796 of the family's 1533-position model. The record is from RNAcentral.
GUGGGGAAUAUUGGACAAUGGGCGCAAGCCUGAUCCAGCCAUGCCGCGUGAGUGAUGAAGGCCUUAGGGUUGUAAAGCUCUUUUGUCCGGGAAGAUAAUGACUGUACCGGAAGAAUAAGCCCCGGCUAACUUCGUGCCAGCAGCCGCGGUAAUACGAAGGGGGCUAGCGUUGUUCGGAAUCACUGGGCGUAAAGCGCACGUAGGCGGACCAUUAAGUCAGGGGUGAAAGCCUGGAGCUCAACUCCAGAACUGCCUUUGAUACUGAUGGUCUCGAGUAUGGAAGAGGUUGGUGGAACUGCGAGUGUAGAGGUGAAAUUCGUAGAUAUUCGCAAGAACACCGGUGGCGAAGGCGGCCAACUGGUCCGAAACUGACGCUGAGGCGCGAAAGCGUGGGGAGCAAACAGGAUUAGAAACCCGUGUAGUCC